GAUGAACGCUGGCGGCGUGCCUAAUACAUGCAAGUCGAGCGAACAGACGAGGAGCUUGCUCCUCUGACGUUAGCGGCGGACGGGUGAGUAACACGUGGAUAACCUACCUAUAAGACUGGGAUAACUUCGGAAAACCGGAGCUAAUACCGGAUAAUAUAUUGAACCGCAUGGUUCAAUAGUGAAAGACGGUUUUGCUGUCACUUAUAGAUGGAUCCGCGCCGCAUUAGCUAGUUGGUAAGGUAACGGCUUACCAAGGCAACGAUGCGUAGCCGACCUGUGAGGGUGAUCGGCCACACUGGAACUGAGACACGGUCCAGACUCCUACGGGAGGCAGCAGUAGGGAAUCUUCCGCAAUGGGCGAAAGCCUGACGGAGCAACGCCGCGUGAGUGAUGAAGGUCUUCGGAUCGUAAAACUCUGUUAUUAGGGAAGAACAAAUGUGUAAGUAACUAUGCACGUCUUGACGGUACCUAAUCAGAAAGCCACGGCUAACUACGUG
RNAcentral lists this ribosomal RNA (497 nucleotides) under uncultured bacterium. Its description in RNAcentral is "partial 16S ribosomal RNA". It matches the Rfam family "Bacterial small subunit ribosomal RNA", at positions 28 to 507 of the family's 1533-position model. The record is from RNAcentral.